AGCAUAUCAAUAAGCGGAGGAAAAGAAACUAACAAGGAUUCCCCUAGUAACUGCGAGUGAAGCGGGAAAAGCUCAAAUUUAAAAUCUGGCGGUCUUUGGCCGUCCGAGUUGUAGUCUGGAGAAGUGCUUUCCGUGCUGGACCGUGUACAAGUCUCUUGGAACAGAGCGUCAUAGAGGGUGAGAAUCCCGUCUUUGACACGGACUACCAGUGCUUUGUGAUGCGCUCUCGAAGAGUCGAGUUGUUUGGGAAUGCAGCUCAAAAUGGGUGGUAAAUUCCAUCUAAAGCUAAAUAUUGGCGAGAGACCGAUAGCGAACAAGUACCGUGAGGGAAAGAUGAAAAGCACUUUGGAAAGAGAGUUAAACAGUACGUGAAAUUGCUGAAAGGGAAACACUUGAAGUCAGUCGCGUUGGCCGGAACUCAGCCUUGCUUUUUUGCUUGGUGCACUUUCUGGUCGACGGGCCAGCAUCAAUUUUGAUCGUCGGAUAAAGGCUGGGGGAAUGUGGCAUCUUCGGAUGUGUUAUAGCCCUCGGUCACAUAYGAUGGUUGGGAUUGAGGAUCUCAGCACACCUUUACGGUCGGGGUUCGCCCACGCUUGUGCUUAGGAUGCUGGCGUAAUGGCUUUAAAUGACCCGUCUUGAAACACGGACCAAGGAGUCUAACAUGCCUGCGAGUGUUUGGGUGGAAAACCCGAGCGCGCAAUGAAAGUGAAAGUUGAGACCCCUGUCGUGGGGGGCAUCGACGCCCGGACCAGACCUUCUGUGACGGCUCCGCGGUAGAGCAUGUAUGUUGGGACCCGAAAGAUGGUGAACUAUGCCUGAAUAGGGUGAAGCCAGAGGAAACUCUGGUGGAGGCUCGUAGCGAUUCUGACGUGCAAAUCGAUCGUCAAAUUUGGGUAUAGGGGCGAAAGACUAAUCGAACCAUCUAGUAGCUGGUUCC
Molecule: ribosomal RNA, 937 nt
Filed under: Amylocystis lapponica
Lineage: Eukaryota; Fungi; Basidiomycota; Agaricomycetes; Polyporales; Postiaceae
Description: LSU rRNA
Rfam family: Eukaryotic large subunit ribosomal RNA
Source: RNAcentral